RNAcentral lists this long non-coding RNA (768 nucleotides) under Fukomys damarensis (Damara mole-rat). Its description in RNAcentral is "lncRNA (ENSFDAG00000026470.1)". The record is from RNAcentral. Lineage: Eukaryota; Metazoa; Chordata; Mammalia; Rodentia; Bathyergidae.
GUCGUCCUUAUUUUAUUUUUUUACACAGUCAUGUGUUUGUAAUUAUUUUCUCUUUAAAACCUGCCUUAUCCCCUCCCACCCACAUCUCACGCUGCUCUCAGAUUCCCUCAGAGCUCCUGAGCGCCCCUGCCCCAGUCCUGAAGAGAAGUGACUUCCGGAGUCCGGGUGCAGGCCCGCUUCCUGUAGGUUGGCACGUGAGGCAGGGGGACGUGGGCAGGGGCUCUGCACUCCAGGCACAGAGGGCGGCUCUGGUCUCGACUGGUGACCUCGGUCACGCGCUGCCUCUCGGCUGGUUUUCAUGUUGUCCUGAGCAGGCCGAAGCCAGGCGUUUUGUGCUGGGCCAGCAGUUGUGAAGUUGACAGCAGAGCCAAGUGUAUUGUGUGUCUAUUUUUAGGCCUGUGUCCUUGGACCGCAGAGGAUGGGCUCUGCUCUAUUUCUCUGCCUCCUUCCUGGGCCUUGUGUCAGGGAGGUGGCCCCGGUUUUACUCACUUGGUAACUGGCUGCGGAGUCAUCGCUGGGCUUCUCCAGAGCCGUCCAGAUUCCUCUCCCCUGUGCCCUCCCUUGACCGAGCUGCUAAUGCACUGGCUUCUUGGACCAGGGAGGAAACUGAUCCAGCCUGGGCGCCACUCCAGGACUUUUCCACAUAGCCACAAAGAACAGGCCAAGCUCCUGGCAGGUUCCUGCUGCAGAAGUGCUCUUAAACCACGGUUGGCAGAGAGUAGCUGAAAUCACAGAUGGGGCUGGCUACAGUGGUCGCCAUUCCGGGCG